Molecule: long non-coding RNA, 434 nt
Organism: Gossypium arboreum
Lineage: Eukaryota; Viridiplantae; Streptophyta; Magnoliopsida; Malvales; Malvaceae
Exons: 2
Source: RefSeq, a predicted model, not a curated record
GUUUGUCAUUUUAGACAACUUGCUCGAAGCACUUAAUGCCUAUUUGGACAAGGAGUUGGAUUUUCUUCAAUGGAUUGCUAAUUCUAACUCUAAGAACUAUCAGUUAUGGAUAAUUUGGGAAGAGGUAUGGCAUGGCUCAGUGCACUAGGGAUAUAAGUAGAACUGACUGCAACAGUUUCUUGGAUACUCAACUAAUGACAUUUAGAACUACAAUUAGAAAUAAGAGAGGAUGGUAGGUGUAUGGAUUAAGUUGGAGUAUGUAGUACCAUGAUUACUAGUUCUAUUCAAACUUUUCCAUCACUGCAAAUGAUGGUGAGUUGCUAUCAACUUUGAUCAUUGUUAUGCUUGUUUCAAGUGUCCACUGCAUAACUUUUAUUAACUACUACAAUCCUUGAGAUUAUUUUGACACAAAUGAUAUUGAACCCUUUCUGUAA